RNAcentral lists this ribosomal RNA (253 nucleotides) under uncultured bacterium. Its description in RNAcentral is "partial 16S ribosomal RNA". It matches the Rfam family "Bacterial small subunit ribosomal RNA", at positions 524 to 776 of the family's 1533-position model. The record is from RNAcentral.
UACAGAGGUGGCAAGCGUUGUUCGGAAUUACUGGGCGUAAAGGGCGCGUAGGCGGUCUUCUAAGUCUUGUGUGAAAUCCCUCGGCUCAACUGAGGAACUGCACGGGAUACUGGAUGACUUGAGUUCGGGAGAGGGAAGCGGAAUUCCGGGUGUAGCGGUGAAAUGCGUAGAUAUCUGGAGGAAUACCGGUGGCGAAGGCGGCAUCCUGGACCGGCAUUGACGCUGAGGAGCGAAAGCCAGGGGAGCAAACGGG